This is a long non-coding RNA of Mastomys coucha (southern multimammate mouse), 333 nucleotides long. RefSeq lists it as uncharacterized. The record is from RefSeq and is a predicted model, not a curated record. NCBI's taxonomy places the organism in Eukaryota, Metazoa, Chordata, Mammalia, Rodentia, Muridae. The transcript is spliced from 2 exons.
AACCACAUCAAGGUUCGUCUCCUGAGGCCUCAGCGGCCGGAUCAUGCUUAUGGCAUUCCGGUUCAUUCCAAACAUCCGCUCCGAACAUAACUGUGGCUGGCUCAGGUGCCUUUUGAUUUUACUACACAAGGAGGAGACUCUGCUUGGGACAAGACGCAUCCAAAUGUCAGAUUGCUCAGGCUCUGCCCUUCUGAGGGCUUUGGUGAGGAGACACCGGACAUCUUCUUCUCUUGGAGUUCUGUAAGGUCAUUAAGCAAAAUGGAGUUGAAUUUUUUUUAUAGCGGCUUAUUAGAACUGCUGAAUGAAAACAUAUAAGGACUUGAAUAAAACACU